GACGAACCGUGCGAACGUUGUUCGGAAUCACUGGGCUUAAAGGGCGCGUAGGCGGGCCCGCCAGUCCAGGGUGAAAGCCCCCGGCUCAACCGGGGAAGCGCCUUGGAUACUGCGGGCCUGGAGGGGGGUAGGGGCGUGCGGAACUUCCGGUGGAGCGGUGAAAUGCGUAGAUAUCGGAAGGAACACCGGUGGCGAAGGCGGCACGCUGGGCCCGCCCUGACGCUGAGGCGCGAAAGCCAGGGGAGCGAACGGG
This 253-nucleotide ribosomal RNA is filed under the name uncultured bacterium. RNAcentral describes it as "partial 16S ribosomal RNA". It matches the Rfam family "Bacterial small subunit ribosomal RNA", at positions 524 to 776 of the family's 1533-position model. The record is from RNAcentral.